GAUGAACGCUGGCGGCGUGCCUAAUACAUGCAAGUCGAGCGAACAGACGAGGAGCUUGCUCCUCUGACGUUAGCGGCGGACGGGUGAGUAACACGUGGAUAACCUACCUGUAAGACUGGGAUAACUUCGGGAAACCGGAGCUAAUACCGGAUAAUAUAUUGAACCGCAUGGUUCAAUAGUGAAAGACGGUUUUGCUGUCACUUAUAGAUGGAUCCGCGCCGCAUUAGCUAGUUGGUAAGGUAGCGGCUUACCAAGGCAACGAUGCGUAGCCGACCUGAGAGGGUGAUCGGCCACACUGGAACUGAGACACGGUCCAGACUCCUACGGGAGGCAGCAGUAGGGAAUCUUCCGCAAUGGGCGAAAGCCUGACGGAGCAACGCCGCGUGAGUGAUGAAGGUCUUCGGAUCGUAAAACUCUGUUAUUAGGGAAGAACAAAUGUGUAAGUAACUAUGCACGUCUUGACGGUACCUAAUCAGAAAGCCACGGCUAACUACGUG
RNAcentral lists this ribosomal RNA (497 nucleotides) under uncultured bacterium. RNAcentral's name for it is "partial 16S ribosomal RNA". It matches the Rfam family "Bacterial small subunit ribosomal RNA", at positions 28 to 507 of the family's 1533-position model. The record is from RNAcentral.